This 593-nucleotide ribosomal RNA is filed under the name Alternaria sp. Its description in RNAcentral is "LSU rRNA". It matches the Rfam family "Eukaryotic large subunit ribosomal RNA", at positions 65 to 679 of the family's 3401-position model. Lineage: Eukaryota; Fungi; Ascomycota; Dothideomycetes; Pleosporales; Pleosporaceae. The record is from RNAcentral.
UCCACCUGUAUUGCCUAGUACGGCGAGUGAGCGGCAACAGCUCAAAUUUGAAAUCUGGCUCUUUUAGAGUCCGAGUUGUAAUUUGCAGAGGGCGCUUUGGCUUUGGCAGCGGUCCAAGUUCCUUGGAACAGGACGUCACAGAGGGUGAGAAUCCCGUACGUGGUCGCUGGCUAUUGCCGUGUAAAGCCCCUUCGACGAGUCGAGUUGUUUGGGAAUGCAGCUCUAAAUGGGAGGUACAUUUCUUCUAAAGCUAAAUAUUGGCCAGAGACCGAUAGCGCACAAGUAGAGUGAUCGAAAGAUGAAAAGCACUUUGGAAAGAGAGUCAAACAGCACGUGAAAUUGUUGAAAGGGAAGCGCUUGCAGCCAGACUUGCUUACAGUUGCUCAUCCGGGUUUCUACCCGGUGCACUCUUCUGUAGGCAGGCCAGCAUCAGUUUGGGCGGUAGGAUAAAGGUCUCUGUCACGUACCUCCUUUCGGGGAGGCCUUAUAGGGGAGACGACAUACUACCAGCCUGGACUGAGGUCCGCGCAUCUGCUAGGAUGCUGGCGUAAUGGCUGUAAGCGGCCCGUCUUGAACAACGGACCAAAACCACC